Molecule: ribosomal RNA, 254 nt
Filed under: uncultured bacterium
Lineage: Bacteria
Description: partial 16S ribosomal RNA
Rfam family: Bacterial small subunit ribosomal RNA
Source: RNAcentral
GACAGAGGAUGCAAGCGUUAUCCAAAAUGAUUGGGCGUAAAGCGUUCGUAAGUGGUUCUUCAAGUUUUUCUGUUAAAUACUAAAGCUCAACUUUAGUACCACAUAAAAAACUCAAGUUCUUGAGUAUGGUAGAGGCAACGAGAACUUCCGAUGUAGUGGUGAAAUGCGUAGAAAUCGGAAAGAACACCGAAAGCGAAGGCACGUUGCUAGGUCUUUACUGACACGUAGGAACGAAAGCUUGGGGAGCAAAUGGG